This 420-nucleotide long non-coding RNA is filed under the name Coffea arabica (coffee). RNAcentral describes it as "long non-coding RNA (CARA_LNC007242)". The record is from RNAcentral. Lineage: Eukaryota; Viridiplantae; Streptophyta; Magnoliopsida; Gentianales; Rubiaceae.
AAGAAAUCAAGUCUUCUUUAUAAGAACCCUAACCCUAGAGUAAAUUGAGUGCAACAUUGUGAAGGAAUCAAACCACAAGUUCAAGAAGUAAUACAAAGGGAAGAGAUUGAGAUAGAAAAACUUCCCAAUGCUCGUCGCCAAUUUUCUCCCUUGUGCUCCUUGAUUCUCUUCUGUUGAUCUUGAUCUCUCAAGAACAAGCUAUAAAAAGAUGUAAAAGUAUAUUGCUCUUGCUAAAACUAGUGUUUUUCCUCCCCUAAAACGACCUAAAUAACUCCUAUUUAUAACCUCUAGAAGUUACAAGUGAAUCCCCUUUGGAUUAGGUUUCUUUCAGCUUUAAAACAAACGUGCGCGUCAAGACCUGAUGAAGACCGGCGCCGAAGUUCCUUUGGACUUCAGCUGCUCGCUUCGUCAGACCAACAC